GACGAACGCUGGCGGCGUGCUUAACACAUGCAAGUCGAACGGAAAGGCCCUGCUUUUGGGGGGUGCGCGGGUGGCGAACGGGUGAGUAACACGUGAGUAACCUGCCCUUGACUUUGGGAUAACUUCAGGACACUGGGGCUAAUACCGGAUAGGAGCUCCUGCUGCAGGGUGGGGGUGGGAAAGUUUCGGCGGUUGGGGGUGGACUCGCGGCUUAUUGGCUUGUUGGUGGGGUGGUGGCUGACCAAGGCCUUGACGGGUGGCCGGCCUGGUAGGGUGAGCGGCCACGUUGGGCCUGGGAUACGGCCCGGACCCCUCCGGGAGGCAGGGGUGGGGAAGAGUGCACAAUGGGCGGAGGCAAGAUGCAGCAAAGCCGCGUGCGGGAUGACGGCCUGCGGGUUGUAUACCGAUUUCGCCUGUGACGAAGCGUGAGUGACGGUAAUGGGUAAAGAAGCACCGGCUAACUACGUG
RNAcentral lists this ribosomal RNA (468 nucleotides) under uncultured bacterium. Its description in RNAcentral is "partial 16S ribosomal RNA". It matches the Rfam family "Bacterial small subunit ribosomal RNA", at positions 28 to 507 of the family's 1533-position model. The record is from RNAcentral.